CCGCCAAGCCCUGCCACCCUCGGCCACCGCCCUCCGCCACCGCCUGCGCCAGUGUGCAGAGAGGAUCCCAGAGGCUGAAGCAGUACUCGACCUGCUGGAGAAAUGUCCAGAGCACCAAAAAAAGGGCGAUUUUCCCGUCAUAGUUUUUGAGGGGCUGGAUGCCACUGGCAAAACCACUGUGACCGAGGCUGUUAAGGACAACCUGAAUGGCAUUCUGCUAAGGUCCCCACCACCUUGCAUCAGCCAGUGGAGGACUGUAUUUGAUGAUGAACCAACACCCAUUAAAAGAGCAUUUUAUGCUGCGGGCAACUACAUUCUCGCUUCAGAAAUAGCGAAAGCAUCCACUCAGGCACCUGUGAUCAU
This is a long non-coding RNA of Lepidothrix coronata (blue-crowned manakin), 363 nucleotides long. RefSeq lists it as uncharacterized. Lineage: Eukaryota; Metazoa; Chordata; Aves; Passeriformes; Pipridae. The record is from RefSeq and is a predicted model, not a curated record. The transcript is spliced from 3 exons.